Paramuricea clavata is the source of this 270-nucleotide non-coding RNA. The record is from the annotation of a GenBank genome assembly. Lineage: Eukaryota; Metazoa; Cnidaria; Anthozoa; Malacalcyonacea; Plexauridae.
UGCUAAUAGAAAUUAAUCGAAAAUUUACAACUGAACGUCUAGAUGCCUUCAGUGAACUGAAUCGGCGGCGAAGCGACUAAUAUAAAAUACGGUAUCCGGUUGUUUCGCCAACGAGUCGUUUCGCCAACUGUCAGUUCGCCAACGUCUCGGGUGGAUUCGCCAACGCUCGUCCACGUUCUUAUGUCAGUUCGCCAACGUCGCGUAGUUCAUAUAAAAGGCGUAUUGUGCGACAUUGUUAGUUGUUACUGAUGUUCUUGUAUUAUGAAGAUU